Molecule: unclassified non-coding RNA, 377 nt
Filed under: uncultured Oligoflexaceae bacterium
Lineage: Bacteria; Pseudomonadati; Bdellovibrionota; Oligoflexia; Oligoflexales; Oligoflexaceae
Description: contains 16S-23S intergenic spacer region
Source: RNAcentral
UCCGAUUUAACAUCGGCAGUCUUCUUAGAGUCCCCAACUUAAUGAUGGUAACUAAGAACAGGGGUUGCGCUCGUUAUUGGACUUAACCAAACAUCUUACGACACGAGCUGACGACAGCCAUGCAGCACCUAUCCUGGUGUCCCCGAAAGGAAAACCACAUCUCUGUGGCGGUCACCAAAUGUUAAGGGUAGGUAAGGUUCUGCGCGUUGCUUCGAAUUAAACCACAUACUCCACCGCUUGUGCGGGCCCCCGUCAAUUCCUUUGAGUUUCGGCCUUGCGACUGUACUCCCCAGGCGGGAUACUUAACGCGUUAGCUGUGGCACUCAGGAGGUUAACUUCCCAAACGCCUAGUAUCCAUCGUUUACAGCGUGGACUAC